UACGGGGGGGGCAAGCGUUGUUCGGAAUUACUGGGCGUAAAGGGCUCGUAGGCGGCCAACUAAGUCCGACGUGAAAUCCCCAGGCUUAACCUGGGAACUGCGUCGGAUACUGGAUGGCUUGAAUCCGGGAGAGGGAUGCGGAAUUCCUGGUGUAGCGGUGGAAUGCGCAGAUAUCAGGAGGAACACCGGUGGCGAAGGCGGGUCUCUGGGCAGUAACUGACGCUGAGGAGCGAAAGCGUGGGGAGCGAACAGG
This 253-nucleotide ribosomal RNA is filed under the name uncultured bacterium. RNAcentral's name for it is "partial 16S ribosomal RNA". It matches the Rfam family "Bacterial small subunit ribosomal RNA", at positions 524 to 776 of the family's 1533-position model. The record is from RNAcentral.